GAGUUAGGCUCACAAGGGAGAAGGUUACCGCCUGGANGGGNCCGCCCAAUGGAAUGAACGGCCCUNCUCCUACGGAGCAGCAGGGGGAAAUUGCCAAUGGGGAAACCUUAUGAAGGAGNCNGGUGAGGAAGACGCCUUGGGUUGUAACCUCUUCAGCAGGAAAAGGGAAGGGACGUACCNCAGAGAAGGCCCGCUAAUUACGGGCAGCAGCGGGGUAAUAGUAGGGGGGAGGUUGUCGGAAUAAUGGCGUAAGAGUUGUAGGCGCUUGUCANUCGGUUGAAAGCCGGGGUUAACCCGGGUUUGCUUCGAUAGGGCAGCUAGAUUUCGUAGGGAAAUGGAAUUCCGGGGUAGCGGGAAAUNGCAGAUUCGGGGGACCACCNGGGGAAGGGGAUCUUGGGCCGAUAUGGACGCNAGGANGAAAGCNGGGGGGGACCAGGAUUNNUACCUUGGNGUCCANCGGUAACCNGGGGAAUUAGGUUGGGGGCCUUUCCAGUUGGUCGGUCCGGCAGUUAAGCCAUAAAGUGCCCCCCCGGGGGAGUAGGCCGCAAAGGUUAAAAUUAAAGGAAAUGAGGGGGGCCGGCCCAAGCGGGGGAGCAUGGGCUAAUUUGGAGGCAACGGGAGGACCCUUACCAGGGCUGGCCAUCCCCCGGAAACGUUAGGAGACAGGCCCCCCCUGGUGGUCGGGGUCCAGGUGGGCCAUGGCGGUGUUCAGUUGGGGUCUUGGGAGGUGGGGUUAAUUCCGGCAAGGAGGGCAACCCUGUCCCCGGGUGCCCAGCUGGCCCUCGUGGUGAUGGGGACUCACAGGAGACCGCCGGGGUCAACUCGGAGGAAGGUGGGGACGACGUCAAGUCAUCAUGCCCCUUAUGUCUUGGGCUGCACACGUGCUACAAUGGCCGGUACAAUGAGCUGCGAAACCGCGAGGUGGAGCGAAUCUCAAAAAGCCGGUCUCAGUUCGGAUUGGGGUCUGCAACUCGACCCCAUGAAGUCGGAGUCGCUAGUAAUCGCAGAUCAGCAUUGCUGCGGUGAAUACGUUCCCGGGCCUUGUACACACCGCCCGUCACGUCACGAAAGUCGGUAACA
Molecule: ribosomal RNA, 1080 nt
Filed under: Streptomyces sp.
Lineage: Bacteria; Bacillati; Actinomycetota; Actinomycetes; Kitasatosporales; Streptomycetaceae
Description: bacterial SSU rRNA
Rfam family: Bacterial small subunit ribosomal RNA
Source: RNAcentral